CCUACGGGAGGCAGCAGUUGGGAAUAUUGCACAAUGGGGGAAACCCUGAUGCAGCGACGCCGCGUGAGUGAAGAAUUAUUUCGGUAUGUAAAGCUCUAUCAUCAGGGAAGAAGCAAGUCGGUACCUGACUAAGAAGCCCCGGCUCACUACGAUUCAGCAGCCGCGGUAAUACGUAGGGGGCAAGCGUUAUCCGGAUUUACUGGGUGUAAAGGGAGCGUAUACGGUAUGGCAAGUCUGAAGUGAAAGCCCAGGGCUUAACCCUGGGACUGCUUGUGAAAAUGUUUGACUAGAGUGCUGGAGAGGUAAGCGGAAUUCCGAGUGUAGCGGUGAAAUGCGGAGAGAUAAGGAGGAACACCAGUGGCGAAGGCGGAUUACUGGACAGUAACUGACGCUGAGGCGCGAAAGCGUGGGGAGCAAACAGGAUUAGAUACCCCUGUAGUC
RNAcentral lists this ribosomal RNA (441 nucleotides) under uncultured bacterium. Its description in RNAcentral is "partial 16S ribosomal RNA". It matches the Rfam family "Bacterial small subunit ribosomal RNA", at positions 338 to 795 of the family's 1533-position model. The record is from RNAcentral.